UGAGGGAAUAUUUGGGGUCAAUGGGCGGAAGCCUGAACCAGCCAUGCCGCGUGAAGGACUAAGGCCCUAUGGGUCGUAAACUUCUUUAGACGCAGAGCAAUAAGGGUCUCGUGAGAUCCGAUGAGAGUAUGCGUAGAAUAAGCAUCGGCUAACUCCGUGCCAGCAGCCGCGGUAAUACGGGGGGAUGCGAGCGUUAUCCGGAUUUAUUGGGUUUAAAGGGUGCGUAGGCGGAAGUGCAAGUCAGCGGUGAAAUCCCCGCGCUCAACGCGGGAGUUGCCGUUGAUACUGUACAUCUGGAAUGCUCUUGCCGUGGGAGGAAUGAGUAGUGUAG
RNAcentral lists this ribosomal RNA (331 nucleotides) under uncultured bacterium. RNAcentral's name for it is "bacterial SSU rRNA". It matches the Rfam family "Bacterial small subunit ribosomal RNA", at positions 354 to 678 of the family's 1533-position model. The record is from RNAcentral.